AUACUGGUCUUCCUCCUCCUCUUCCUCCUCCUCCAUGAUCUCAUUAUCUUUCUCCUCCUCCGCCUUCUCAUCAUUAAGCUGUAUCAGCAUGGUGUGUAGAGUAGCCUUCACCUCCCUCACCUCCUGCUCCAGGGACUGUGUGAGAUCCUGGUCUUUGUUCUGUAUGGCUGUCUGGAGGUCAUCCUCCAGAAUCAACAGCCUAUCACUGAUCUCCUCACACUGGUCGGUCAGCUCUAUAGUCAGGUCUGCUGUUAGCCCUGCUGCUUCACUGUCACUGUCCUCCUGAGAAAGAAAGAUAGAGAGGGACAGAGAGAAGGUGAGAGAGAGAGGGACAGAGAGAAGGUGAGAGAGAGGG
This is a long non-coding RNA of Oncorhynchus tshawytscha (Chinook salmon), 355 nucleotides long. RefSeq lists it as uncharacterized. The transcript is spliced from 2 exons. NCBI's taxonomy places the organism in Eukaryota, Metazoa, Chordata, Actinopteri, Salmoniformes, Salmonidae. The record is from RefSeq and is a predicted model, not a curated record.